ACACUUUUCAUUAUUUGAGAGUCGACGACUGUGGUUGGAACUUCUCACUUUACAUGUCAUUCAAAGGUACGGCUUCCAUUUUGAACAGUUGUUCAAAGGAACUUAAAAUAAAGCUUAUUGUGGACCUACAUUGAAGCCUCAAGUUUUCAUAUAUCUUUUUUAGGCAGAGUUUUUUCAGGUAGUUUCACCGAAAAACACGACAGCUUAUCAGUGUGUAGAAUUUGAGAUAUCUUUUACAGGUAUAGUUCAGGCACAAACCACGACAGCUUAUUGUAGAAUACUACCUAUAUACACUGGAGUCUGGACCAUGUUUGACAAUUUCACUAUAUUUAUUUUCAGAGCCUAACAAAUUAUCGAGCAUAAACUAUUCUUAUUCCAACGAAAGUGCACGUUCAGAAUGAAGAACCACUUCAACGCCCUGUAUUUGUUAAUCAUCGCGACAUGCUACAUAAGCUACACCGAAGCAGCCCAAUAAUGCUAUGCUUUUACCGGGCCAAGUGGAGCUAGACAAUGUGUCAAGCUGCAGGGGUACAACGGCUACCAAUGGGCUACUUGUCGCACAAACUCGUACUUGGUACAAAUGUCGAACGGCAGGCACCACUGUAGCAUCAAGUCGCAUACAUAUUGCCUCUACCAGUGUAUGUUGAAUAAGUCAUAGGCAGCCCAAUGUUAUGGACC
This is a non-coding RNA of Paramuricea clavata, 678 nucleotides long. NCBI's taxonomy places the organism in Eukaryota, Metazoa, Cnidaria, Anthozoa, Malacalcyonacea, Plexauridae. The record is from the annotation of a GenBank genome assembly.